This 74-nucleotide transfer RNA is filed under the name Daphnia pulicaria. RNAcentral's name for it is "tRNA-Thr". It matches the Rfam family "tRNA". From Rfam's summary of the family: Transfer RNA (tRNA) molecules are approximately 80 nucleotides in length. Their secondary structure includes four short double-helical elements and three loops (D, anti-codon, and T loops). Further hydrogen bonds mediate the characteristic L-shaped molecular structure. tRNAs have two regions of fundamental functional importance: the anti-codon, which is responsible for specific mRNA codon recognition, and the 3' end, to which the tRNAs corresponding amino acid is attached (by aminoacyl-tRNA synthetases). tRNAs cope with the degeneracy of the genetic code in two manners: having more than one tRNA (with a specific anti-codon) for a particular amino acid; and 'wobble' base-pairing, i.e. permitting non-standard base-pairing at the 3rd anti-codon position. Lineage: Eukaryota; Metazoa; Arthropoda; Branchiopoda; Diplostraca; Daphniidae. The record is from RNAcentral.
GCUCCAGUGGCGCAGUCGGUUAGCGCAUGGUACUUGUAAUGCCGAGGUCGCGAGUUCGAGCCUCGCCUGGAGCA